This 129-nucleotide small nucleolar RNA is filed under the name Dasypus novemcinctus (nine-banded armadillo). Its description in RNAcentral is "Small nucleolar RNA SNORA48 (ENSDNOG00000029477.1)". It matches the Rfam family "Small nucleolar RNA SNORA48". Rfam says of the family: The snoRNA ACA 48 has been identified to guide pseudouridylation of the residue U3797 in the 28S rRNA subunit. Its host gene EIF4A1 (eukaryotic translation initiation factor 4A1) is shared with U67 and snoRNA mgU6-77 The record is from RNAcentral. Lineage: Eukaryota; Metazoa; Chordata; Mammalia; Cingulata; Dasypodidae.
UCCCCGAUUGGGUAGAGUGGCACUUGGUGUGGUGGUGCCCAUCUCCUGCCAACGACAGAGCAAUCCCUUGUUUACUGCAGCUUGGCUUUUCUAUCAUACUUAAGCCUGGUUCGUGCCUAAGACAUACGU